AGUUUUAGGAUUGAUUUGAUGAAA
RNAcentral lists this microRNA (24 nucleotides) under Gossypium raimondii (Peruvian cotton). RNAcentral describes it as "gra-miR8706a". Lineage: Eukaryota; Viridiplantae; Streptophyta; Magnoliopsida; Malvales; Malvaceae. The record is from miRBase by way of RNAcentral.